AACACCAGGCGAUUCCGGCGAGUUCCGGCGGCCCUCGCCGGAGCGCAGCACACCCACGAGCUCCCCUCGUGACGGUGCUUCCUUUCCUCCGGCUAGAUCUGCUCCUCACGGCCGCAAGCGCUCGCGCGCGACCCAUCCCCGCUGCUAGGGCUUCGGCUGCCCCCAACUCUGGUGAGCCACCCUCCUCCAUGGACGAGGACGACCACCACGGCCGCACAUGGUCGAGCUCACCGUCGUUUCCUCCGGUGCGGUGAUGGGCCAACGAGCUCCGCCUCCACGGCUCCUAGCUCGGCUUCUGUUCUCCAUGGACGAAUCUCAACUGGAAACAGCAAGCCAUCUCAAGGGAGGGGAUUGUCAAGUCACCCCACUUCCAAUCCAUGGAUGCUAUCCACAAGGACCAAGAUGAUGACGACCAGGAUGGAAGGAGCCCACGCCCGACCCCGACGACGGCGGUUUCAUUUGUGUGCCGGCGUCGACCACAACCUCCCUCUCUGUAAUAUGGUUGUGCUUUAUUUUAAUCAAAAGAAGUUCAUCCUCAAUUCACUCUGCUUAUAUCAUAAUUCAGUACCGACUCUUUCGGUCUUUCCUGCCUCCUAGCAUGCUUUUACUCUGCAUCUGCCACG
This is a long non-coding RNA of Triticum dicoccoides, 623 nucleotides long. RefSeq lists it as uncharacterized. The record is from RefSeq and is a predicted model, not a curated record. NCBI's taxonomy places the organism in Eukaryota, Viridiplantae, Streptophyta, Magnoliopsida, Poales, Poaceae. The transcript has 3 exons.